This 319-nucleotide ribosomal RNA is filed under the name uncultured Lactobacillus sp. RNAcentral's name for it is "bacterial SSU rRNA". It matches the Rfam family "Bacterial small subunit ribosomal RNA", at positions 223 to 525 of the family's 1533-position model. The record is from RNAcentral. Lineage: Bacteria; Bacillati; Bacillota; Bacilli; Lactobacillales; Lactobacillaceae.
GGAUGGACCUGCGGUGCAUUAGCUAGUUGGUAGGGUAACGGCCUACCAAGGGCGAUGAUGCAUAGCCCGAGUUGAGAGACUGAUCGGCCACAUUGGGGACUGAGACACGGCCCAAACUCCUACGGGAGGCAGCAGUAGGGAAUCUUCCACAAUGGACGCAAGUCUGAUGGAGCAAACGCCGCGUGAGUGAAGAAGGAUUUCGGCUCGUAAAAAGCUCUGUUGUUGGUGAAGAAGGACAGGGGUAGUAACUGACCCUUUGUUUUGACGGUAAUCAAUUAGAAAGUCACGGGCUAACUACGUGCCAGCAGCCGCGGUAAAU